AUUUUACAACCUAACCAGAUUAUUCAAUGUAUGAUCAAUGAAAUUAUUUGAAUUAAAACCAUAUUAUAUCCCCUACUCUAAGUUGGAAAGGUAUAAUAUUUAAGAUAAUUUAGUUUGUAUACUGUAUUAAACAAAUCAUUACAAACAAAAAAUUAUUCUUAGUUAAAUUCAGUUAAACAUAAUUUUUGAUACAUUUAAAUUGAAAAUUUUACUAACUACAAAAUAAAUUACUG
Cinara cedri is the source of this 233-nucleotide non-coding RNA. The record is from the annotation of a GenBank genome assembly. Lineage: Eukaryota; Metazoa; Arthropoda; Insecta; Hemiptera; Aphididae.